Molecule: non-coding RNA, 73 nt
Organism: Caerostris darwini
Lineage: Eukaryota; Metazoa; Arthropoda; Arachnida; Araneae; Araneidae
Source: the annotation of a GenBank genome assembly
ACACCGAAGUCAAGCAUCAUUGGGCGCGGCCAGUACUUGGAUGGGUGACCACCUGGGAACACCGCGUGCCGUU